GACAUGAAUGGACAGUGAGGUGUUUGCUUCAUUCACAGGCCAGGGGGGCCCCAGAGCAAAGAGGACCUGCAGGCUUGAGCACUUCCCUUCCCUCCUCCUCUUUUGCAUCCCAUGCUGUGCUAGUGCUCCCACCUGGAGGCAGUGAAAUCAACCAACAAGCAGGAAGGCCUUGGAGGACACGUUUGCAUGCCAGCCCUAAGGGAGAGAGAGAAGUGGUAGGCAUGAGACUCCUCCCCUAGGUACCUCUGGCCCUGGAGAGCUCAGGCUGGGGACUCGGGUGCAAGGGGAGAAGGGAGGGUCCUGUGGCUCAGGCCAAACAUGUUCCAGGGGGCCAGCUGGGG
Molecule: long non-coding RNA, 341 nt
Filed under: Phascolarctos cinereus (koala)
Lineage: Eukaryota; Metazoa; Chordata; Mammalia; Diprotodontia; Phascolarctidae
Description: lncRNA (ENSPCIG00000032292.1)
Source: RNAcentral